AUACGGAGGGUGCAAGCGUUGUUCGGAAUCACUGGGCGUAAAGGGCGCGCAGGCGGUUUGGUAAGUCAGAUGUGAAAGCCCACGGCUCAACCGUGGAAGUGCAUUUGAAACUGUCAGACUUGAGUACCAGAGGGGGUAGUGGAAUUCCCGGUGUAGAGGUGAAAUUCGUAGAUAGCGGGAGGAAUACCGGUGGCGAAGGCGACUACCUGGCUGGAUACUGACGCUGAGGCGCGAAAGCGUGGGGAGCAAACAGGAUUAGAAACCCCAGUAGUCC
This 274-nucleotide ribosomal RNA is filed under the name uncultured bacterium. RNAcentral describes it as "partial 16S ribosomal RNA". It matches the Rfam family "Bacterial small subunit ribosomal RNA", at positions 523 to 796 of the family's 1533-position model. The record is from RNAcentral.